CGGAGCAUGGCUCAGCUUGGUAGAGCGCCUGGUUCGGGACCAGGAGGUCGUGGGUUCGAAUCCCGCUGCUCCGA
RNAcentral lists this transfer RNA (74 nucleotides) under Candidatus Margulisiibacteriota bacterium. Its description in RNAcentral is "tRNA-Pro". It matches the Rfam family "tRNA". Rfam says of the family: Transfer RNA (tRNA) molecules are approximately 80 nucleotides in length. Their secondary structure includes four short double-helical elements and three loops (D, anti-codon, and T loops). Lineage: Bacteria; Bacillati; Candidatus Margulisiibacteriota. The record is from RNAcentral.